CUGCCGCGUGAGUGAAGAAGGCCUUCGGGUUGUAAAGCUCUUUCGGCCGGGAAGAAAUCGUGGUCUCUAACAUAGGCCAUGGAUGACGGUACCGGACUAAGAAGCACCGGCUAACUACGUGCCAGCAGCCGCGGUAAUACGUAGGGUGCGAGCGUUAAUCGGAAUUACUGGGCGUAAAGCGUGCGCAGGCGGUUUUGUAAGACAGAUGUGAAAUCCCCGGGCUUAACCUGGGAACUGCGUUUGUGACUGCAAGGCUAGAGUACGGCAGAGGGGGGUGGAAUUCCUGGUGUAGCAGUGAAAUGCGUAGAGAUCAGGAGGAACACCGAUGGCGAAGGCAGCCCCCUGGGCCUGUACUGACGCUCAUGCACGAAAGCGUGGGGAGCAAACAGGAUUAGAUACCCUGGUAGUCCACGCCCUAAACGAUGUCGACUAGUCGUUCGGAGCAGCAAUGCACUGAGUGACGCAGCUAACGCGUGAAGUCGACCGCCUGGGGAGUACGGCCGCAAGGUUAAAACUCAAAGGAAUUGACG
RNAcentral lists this ribosomal RNA (530 nucleotides) under uncultured bacterium. RNAcentral describes it as "bacterial SSU rRNA". It matches the Rfam family "Bacterial small subunit ribosomal RNA", at positions 394 to 915 of the family's 1533-position model. The record is from RNAcentral.